Oxyura jamaicensis (ruddy duck) is the source of this 299-nucleotide long non-coding RNA. RefSeq lists it as uncharacterized. The record is from RefSeq and is a predicted model, not a curated record. Lineage: Eukaryota; Metazoa; Chordata; Aves; Anseriformes; Anatidae. The transcript is spliced from 2 exons.
GAUGUCCCAGUGGAGAAUGGGCUACAGCACCAGCCUUCUGGUCUGUGUCACCUACUCUGUGUAAAAGUGCACAUCUUACAGCCAGCUGCAGGCAUAGUGGAAUCCCAGUUAUGCUGUCGUAUCUGCUCAUCCUGUCUGCGCUAACAGCACUAAGGACUGAAGACUGAUGGUCACGGAUUCCUUGGUGAACCUGGAAGGAAUUCAUAGCCGGUGUAACUUUUCACCACUCAGAAAUCUCAAUUCCAGGUUUCAGAGGCUCUUGGUUUCUUCCUCCUAAUAUAUCAUACUUACGUCUAAUU